This 253-nucleotide ribosomal RNA is filed under the name uncultured bacterium. Its description in RNAcentral is "partial 16S ribosomal RNA". It matches the Rfam family "Bacterial small subunit ribosomal RNA", at positions 524 to 776 of the family's 1533-position model. The record is from RNAcentral.
UACGAAGGGGGCUAGCGUUGCUCGGAAUCACUGGGCGUAAAGCGCACGUAGGCGGAUUGUUAGGUCAGGGGUGAAAUCCUGGAGCUCAACUCCAGAACUGCCUUUGAUACUGGCGAUCUCGAGUCCGGGAGAGGUGAGUGGAACUGCGAGUGUAGAGGUGAAAUUCGUAGAUAUUCGCAAGAACACCAGUGGCGAAGGCGGCUCUCUGGUCUGUAACUGACGCUGAGGCGCGAAAGCGUGGGGAGCGAACAGG